RNAcentral lists this ribosomal RNA (492 nucleotides) under uncultured bacterium. RNAcentral's name for it is "partial 16S ribosomal RNA". It matches the Rfam family "Bacterial small subunit ribosomal RNA", at positions 29 to 507 of the family's 1533-position model. The record is from RNAcentral.
AGUGAACGCUGGCGGUAGGCCUAACACAUGCAAGUCGAACGGCAGCACAGUAAGAGCUUGCUCUUACGGGUGGCGAGUGGCGGACGGGUGAGGAAUACAUCGGAAUCUACUUUUUCGUGGGGGAUAACGUAGGUAAACUUACGCUAAUACCGCAUACGACCUACGGGUGAAAGCAGGGGAUCUUCGGACCUUGCGCGAUUGAAUGAGCCGAUGUCGGAUUAGCUAGUUGGCGGGGUAAAGGCCCACCAAGGCGACGAUCCGUAGCUGGUCUGAGAGGACGAUCAGCCACACUGGAACUGAGACACGGUCCAGACUCCUACGGGAGGCAGCAGUGGGGAAUAUUGGAGAAUGGGCGCAAGCCUGAUCCAGCCAUACCGCGUGGGUGAAGAAGGCCUUCGGGUUGUAAAGCCCUUUUGUUGGGAAAGAAAAGCAGCAGGUUAAUACCCCGCUGUUCUGACGGUACCCAAAGAAUAAGCACCGGCUAACUUCGUG